GACAAAGCAUGUAUUCAAACACCACCAAUUAACUAAAAUGGAAGUAUCAGCGUCGGCUUUAGCGUUCAUAUGAACUUCGACCCACAGCUAAUGCGGGUUUUUAUUCAAGAAGGAUGGAAUUACGAUAAAAAGAAACUGAUUUGGGGAAAAAAUGGAACUACACAAGGAUGGGAACAGGAUAACGUAAUGGAAGUGAACCCGUCAAUGACAAUGUUUGCGAUCUUAUUUGAAGCAGUACUUGGACCAUCAAGUUUAGGAGUAAUUGCUGUUGAUGACAUCAACAUAUAUCCGGAUAACACAUCAUUGAAAGAUGACAGAAAAUCGAAUUCCAUCAUUAUUACCGCAACAGUGGUGCCUUUGGUUGUCAUUUUUGCAAUUGCCAUAAUUUUAGUCAUAUUCAGAAAGCCAUGGAUGAACAAGCCAAAAGAUGGUCCAAGAACUACGUCCACAAAAAAUUUCGACUCUGACGCUUACGCAAAUUAUGAGGAAGAUGUAUUUAAGAAUGCUUAUACCCCACCUUUGUAGACAUGAAGAUGUAAAAGCUGAAAGAGCAAAUUGUACCAUUUAUUAAGUAUUUAACUAUAUAGGUCUAAAUAUUAUCUAGGUGUUAUCCACGUUUUAUUACCUAAUGUCAGUAUCUACUGUAUUAUAUUCAAAACAUGUGAAAGAGUAAGAGGUACUGUAAUGUACUCCUAUUUUAUUAACAUGAAUGUACAAUUGGUGAAGGAAGCAAAGUGUAAAAUAACCUUAGAAGAUAGAUAUUUUCAACACAAAUUGCUAUGUUUGGUGAGUAUGGCGUAGCAGUACGAGGAAUAUGCAAAAGUCAGUAUAUAAAUUCAUAGAACGUGUUACUGACCAGUAGCAAUGUUGUAGUAAAAUACGUAAUUUUAUGAUCUUUAUAAUGCUGAGAUGCACAGUAGAGGGAGAAAACUACCGUACUUCAUAUUAUAUGGUCCAAGAAUGUUUCUGUUUUUUUUGGGGGGGGGGGGGGUGGGGUGGGGAGGAUGGCGUUCUAUUUACUUUUAUACGGAAAUUUGUUUAAAAUAAGAAAUUGAUUAAUUGAAUUCAAUUUAAGAAUGAAAAAUAUAACUUUAGCUUUAUAAAACAUUAAUCUCGAAAUAGAAUGAAUAUAUAUGUAAUGUUUGAGGUCAAUGUUGUUGCUCACAUUGUGAGAAAAUAGAACUUCAUUGAACUUGCAAUUGACAUUUUUAUAAUUAUAUAAUCAUGACUUAUUUGAACUUUAUGCAUGUAACUUUUGUUUUGUAAAAUGAAGGUAAAGGUAUGAUAAAUUCUGACAUUACCUAAAUGCAACGUUCAAAACUCAUGUAAAUGUUAUGAUAAGGUCUUGUAUUUGCUGGAUAAUUUCCCGAACUUUUGGAUUGAUUGUUAAAUUUACCUUUUUAGUACUGUAUUUUAAUAUUGCAACCAAAAAAGCAAUUUAUGUAUAGGCAUUGCAAAUAUAUAUAGCAUCAAUAAAAAUAUAAAUAAGUCCUAAUUUUAUGGUUUUGAUUGACGUACCAUUUACAAUUUCUAUGGGAUCUAAAUAAUAGUCUAUAAUAAUAAAAUUAUUAUAAAAUUUCAAUAAAAGUAUAAUUUAUUUUCUAGGCCUAUAAACCAACAGUUUAUUAUCUAAUUAUCCAUGGCCCAAGGUCUUAUUGUAGAAAAUAUGCGUUUUGUCGUUGCAUUAAAUAUCAGGAAAUUACUCAAAACCAUGUUUAUCAUGAAUCCAGGAGUGCUGUAGGACACCUUUACUCCCCAAUAGGUUUGAAAUUUUAAAUUUCAAUGAAUGAACCCUCAUUUUAAAAAUUACAUAUGGCCUGCUCAUGAAUCUGAAAAUACCAAUAACUACAUUUUAAUUUUUGCUACAACUUAGCCAUUUAGCUACAACAUGCUUCAUGUACUGGAUGCUUAGAAAAACUAAAUAAACUGAAUAGACUAGGAAUGUGAGACAUUAUAGAGGUGGAUUCAGCAUUUUGUAUCAGGUGCCUCAUGAAAUAAAGUAGUCGUGUUUAUGCGCUUUCCUGCA
This 2026-nucleotide unclassified non-coding RNA is filed under the name Anneissia japonica. Its description in RNAcentral is "uncharacterized LOC117102062, transcript variant X1". The record is from RNAcentral. Lineage: Eukaryota; Metazoa; Echinodermata; Crinoidea; Comatulida; Comatulidae.